CAGCCGCCACGGUAAUACGAAGGGGGCUAGCGUUGUUCGGAAUUACUGGGCGUAAAGCGCACGUAGGCGGAUAUUUAAGUCAGGGGUGAAAUCCCAGAGCUCAACUCUGGAACUGCCUUUGAUACUGGGUAUCUUGAGUAUGGAAGAGGUGAGUGGAAUUCCGAGUGUAGAGGUGAAAUUCGUAGAUAUUCGGAGGAACACCAGUGGCGAAGGCGGCUCACUGGUCCAUUACUGACGCUGAGGUGCGAAAGCGUGGGGAGCAAACAGGAUUAGAUACCCGGGUAGUCCCUGUCUCUUAUAA
RNAcentral lists this ribosomal RNA (301 nucleotides) under uncultured bacterium. RNAcentral's name for it is "partial 16S ribosomal RNA". It matches the Rfam family "Bacterial small subunit ribosomal RNA", at positions 509 to 809 of the family's 1533-position model. The record is from RNAcentral.